GCUCUCGGGUGACGAGCGGCGGACGGGUGAGAAUAGUCUGGGAAACUGCCUGAUGGAGGGGGAUAACUACUGGAAACGGUAGCUAAUACCGCAUAACGUCGCAAGACCAAAGUGGGGGACCUUCGGGCCUCAUGCCAUCAGAUGUGCCCAGAUGGGAUUAGCUAGUAGGUGGGGUAACGGCUCACCUAGGCGACGAUCCCUAGCUGGUCUGAGAGGAUGACCAGCCACACUGGAACUGAGACACGGUCCAGACUCCUACGGGAGGCAGCAGUGGGGAAUAUUGCACAAUGGGCGCAAGCCUGAUGCAGCCAUGCCGCGUGUGUGAAGAAGGCCUUCGGGUUGUAAAGUACUUUCAGCGGGGAGGAAGGCGAUAAGGUUAAUAACCUUGUCGAUUGACGUUACCCGCAGAAGAAGCACCGGCUAACUCCGUGCCAGCAGCCGCGGUAAUACGGAGGGUGCAAGCGUUAAUCGGAAUUACUGGGCGUAAAGCGCACGCAGGCGGUCUGUCAAGUCGGAUGUGAAAUCCCCGGGCUCAACCUGGGAACUGCAUUCGAAACUGGCAGGCUAGAGUCUUGUAGAGGGGGGUAGAAUUCCAGGUGUAGCGGUGAAAUGCGUAGAGAUCUGGAGGAAUACCGGUGGCGAAGGCGGCCCCCUGGACAAAGACUGACGCUCAGGUGCGAAAGCGUGGGGAGCAAACAGG
Molecule: ribosomal RNA, 700 nt
Filed under: Klebsiella sp.
Lineage: Bacteria; Pseudomonadati; Pseudomonadota; Gammaproteobacteria; Enterobacterales; Enterobacteriaceae
Description: bacterial SSU rRNA
Rfam family: Bacterial small subunit ribosomal RNA
Source: RNAcentral